RNAcentral lists this ribosomal RNA (479 nucleotides) under uncultured bacterium. RNAcentral describes it as "bacterial SSU rRNA". It matches the Rfam family "Bacterial small subunit ribosomal RNA", at positions 31 to 507 of the family's 1533-position model. The record is from RNAcentral.
GAACGCUGGCGGCAUGCCUUACACAUGCAAGUCGAACGGCAGCACGGACUUCGGUCUGGUGGCGAGUGGCGAACGGGUGAGUAAUGUAUCGGAACGUACCUUCAGUGGGGAUAACGUAGCGAAAGUUACGCUAAUACCGCAUAUUCUGUGAGCAGGAAAGCAGGGGAUCGCAAGACCUUGCGCUGAUUGAGCGGCCGAUAUCAGAUUAGCUAGUUGGUGAGGUAAAGGCUCACCAAGGCGACGAUCUGUAGCGGGUCUGAGAGGAUGAUCCGCCACACUGGAACUGAGACACGGUCCAGACUCCUACGGGAGGCAGCAGUGGGGAAUUUUGGACAAUGGGGGCAACCCUGAUCCAGCCAUGCCGCGUGAGUGAAGAAGGCCUUCGGGUUGUGAAGCUCUUUCGGCCGGGAAGAAAUCGCAUGGGCUAAUACCCUGUGCGGAUGACGGUACCGGCAUAAGAAGCACCGGCUAACUACGUG